ACGAAGGGGGCUAGCGUUACUCGGAAUUACUGGGCGUAAAGCGUGCGUAGGCUGUUUUGUAAGUUGGUAGUUAAAUUCUCGAGCUCAACUCGAGGCCUGCUAUCAAAACUGCAAGACUAGAGUGUCGGAAAAGAUAGUGGAAUUCCUAGUGUAGAGGUGAAAUUCAUAGAUAUUAGGAGGAACACCAGAAGCGUAAGCGACUAUCUAGCCGAAUACUGACGCUGUUGCACGAAAGCGUGGGGAGCAAACAGG
RNAcentral lists this ribosomal RNA (252 nucleotides) under uncultured bacterium. Its description in RNAcentral is "partial 16S ribosomal RNA". It matches the Rfam family "Bacterial small subunit ribosomal RNA", at positions 525 to 776 of the family's 1533-position model. The record is from RNAcentral.